This 225-nucleotide unclassified non-coding RNA is filed under the name uncultured Basidiomycota. RNAcentral's name for it is "sequence contains ITS2". The record is from RNAcentral. Lineage: Eukaryota; Fungi; Basidiomycota.
AUAACUUCAACCUGUUUUAUUGUGGCUUUUACUUUUAAGAGCAUUCAUAAACCAGGCUUGGAUCUUGGGAGUUUUAUGCUGGCCUUAUUCAUUUUGGUCAGCUCUCCUUGAAUGCAUUAGCAGAAUCAUUGAAUGGUCAUCAAUUCUGGUAUGAUAACAAUUAUCUCUAUGCCAAUUGAGACUGGACGAAAAAACAGAUUCUGCUGUUUGUAAUGUGCUUGAUGA